Molecule: unclassified non-coding RNA, 421 nt
Filed under: soil metagenome
Description: partial contains 5.8S ribosomal RNA, internal transcribed spacer 2, and large subunit ribosomal RNA
Rfam family: 5.8S ribosomal RNA (bases 1-120)
Source: RNAcentral
GAUGAAGAACGCAGCGAAAUGCGAUACGUAAUGUGAAUUGCAGAAUUCAGUGAAUCAUCGAAUCUUUGAACGCAUAUUGCGCUCUUUGGUAUUCCGAAGAGCAUGCUUGUUUGAGUAUCAGUAAACACCUCAACCUCUUCUUGAUUUUUCAAAAGGAGGGUGGACUUGAGCUAUCCCAACAACCUUUACCGGUCGGCGGGCGGCUUGAAAUGCAGGUGCAGCUGGACUUUUAUCUGAGCUAAAAGCAUAUCUAUUUAGUCCUCGUCAAACAGGAUUAUUACUUUUGCUGCAGCUAACAUAAAGGAUAAUUGUCCUCUUUGCUGACUGAUGCAGGAUUUUAAGACACUUUAUGUGUUGUUCAACUCGAUCUCAAAUCAAGUAAGACUACCCGCUGAACUUAAGCAUAUCAAUAAGCGGAGGA